GUUCUAUAGUUAUUAAUUUUAGAUUGGGCCUGCCCUAUGAUUUAUUAAAUGGCUGCAGUAUUAUAACUGUACUAAGGUAGCAUAAUAAUUUGUCUUUUAAUUGAAGGCUUGAAUAAAUGGUUUGAUGAAAAAUUAACUUUUUUAUUUUAAUAUUUUGAAUUUGAUUUUUUAGUUAAAAAGCUUAAAUUUUUUUAUAGGACGAGAAGACCCUUUAGAAUUUUAUUUUUAUUAAAAUUAAUUUAUUUUGUUUAUUAUAUUAUUUGUUUUUUAUAUUAAUUUUGUUGGGGUGAUUUAAAAAUUUUUUUAACUUUUUAUUUAUAUUUCAUUAAUUUAUGUUUUUUUGAUCCUAUUUUUUAGAUUAUAAGAUUAAAUUACCUAAGGGAUAACAGCGUUAUUUUUUUGGAGAGUUCUUAUUGAUAAAGAAGUUUGCGA
This 432-nucleotide ribosomal RNA is filed under the name Mesovelia sp. 2276. RNAcentral describes it as "partial 16S ribosomal RNA". Lineage: Eukaryota; Metazoa; Arthropoda; Insecta; Hemiptera; Mesoveliidae. The record is from RNAcentral.